UGAGAUGGCUCGGGCUGCUCGGUGUCACAGAAAGUUUGAGCCCCCGGGCCGGUGCGUGGCCCUCUCCUGGACUCUGCUCCCCGGUUUCCCCGCUGGAAGCUUUGUCCUCUCCCUCGGAGGCUUCCCCUGCCCCGCAUGGAAUGACAAAGGAAGCGUCGUGCUUCCCCAGGCUCCCCACACCCUCCGUGCCGGAGCCAGGGAAUGACUUCAGAGCUGUCGCGGCUGUCGUUAGCAAGGAUCGCUUGUACCUCAAACCCUGACAUGAGUGAGUCCUGAAAAACACCCUCAGCACGUUCUGAAAGAGCCUCAGCUCUCUGGGACUGCCAAGGAGCCAAGUGCCACCUGUGUCACCAGAGCUGCAGAAUUAUCCACAGACACAUCCCUCUGUACCUCCCCUAGAGCAACAAGGGAGAGCAGAAUGCUUCAGGCUCUCAAGAAUUCCUGCUUAUUCAGCCUCAAUUUUGUUGCUUUGCCACCAAACCCACCUCUGAGAAAACCCCACGUUCAUCAGGUAGAUGAAUUUAAGCCUCCAUGUUGCCUAUGAACUCCUUGUUUUUCCCACUGGAGUUUUCUCCAUGUGGAACCUGUUCCCUGCAAGGGUCACCAAAAUCAUUGCGAGGCCUGAGCUGGUGAAAGGAGUAAAACUUGCAGAGAAAGAUGUUUUAUUAUUUUCAGAAGUCAGUAUUCCAAAGCUGAUGGCUCACUCUGCUCUCUCUGAGCCCUUUCUGACAUACUUCAGGUAUGUAUUUAACAUCGAGGAGUGGACCCCUUUAUCCCCAGCCUUAAUGCUUUUCUCCACUGUGGGACCAGCUAAUGCACAAAAGUAACUUUCCUCAGUGUUAUCUUCAAAGCUGGGAACAUAUUUAGUUGCACAUUACAAUAACUCCAUUCAUAUUUCAUGAGUUUUUAAGUUCAGCCUGUCAGCAUGGACAGCUCAUCACUGAUCCAUCAGGAAAAUGCUGUGAAAAAACAAGCAACUUAUUGUGCUUUUAGCAUAUGAAAUUGCUGCAUGCUUCCCUCAAGGAUAUUAAAAAGAUCUGUGCCGUGGUUAUCAAUAAGUAUGUUUCAGGAUCAGCAUUUAUAAAGCUUCUAGAAUGGCUGCAGCUCUUGACUGACUUCAGAAAUCAAGGAAUUUCUCACAAAAAGCAAAAUCAUAGCUUAAAGUCAACUGCUCUUCAGUUUUGCUGCUUUGAACUUCAAUAUUCAUCUUGAUGACCAGAACCUAAUUAUGAAGUAAUUUUAUUAUUAGAGCUGGGUUGAAAAUCUUCAUCUUAUUUCUUGAAAAAACAGAGGGGAAGGGAGAAGAUCAAGAGGAGCAAAUUCACUGAAAUUUUGAUAAAUCAUCAAAAAAUCAGAAAAUCCAUUUUAAAUAUUGAUUCCUUGUGUGACUAGAAAAUAAAUUCUCUCUUAUUUCUUUUUUAUUACAAAAGAUACUUACAUGGCCUUAGUUAUUUUAGCACCUAAUCAUCACCUGAUAGUCCCUGAGCCAGGGAAUACCAUUGUUUCUUCAUGUUGCACCAGCAAACAAAAAGAUCCCUGAAGACCUUGAUAAGAAACACAGAAUCACAGAAUGGUUUAGGUUGCAAAGGACCUCAAAGCCCAUCUCAUCUCCCCCCCUGCCAUGGGCAGAGACAUCCCAGGCUGCUCCAAACCCCAUCCAGCCUGGCCUUGGGCACUGCCAGGGAUCCAGGGGCAGCCACAGCUUCCCUGGGCACCCUGUGCCAGGGCCUGCCCACCCUCACAGGGAACAAUUCCUGCCCAAUAUCCCAUCCCUCCCUGCCCUCUGACAGCGGUGGGCCAUUCCCUGGGGUUCAAAUUCCAAGGAAACCAAGAGAUGACACAAAAGACCUGCCCAGAACUGAAGCCUUUAGGAGCCUUCAGGACAAGAGGUCGGUUUGUCACCAGACCCUUGAGUCCCAGGCUGACACACUCAGCUGCUGGGCCCUGCACCAGCACUGCAGUACAGCCGUGCCUGUGGGGAGCAGGGAAAUGCUGGAAGAUCCCAAAGUCAGAUUGCACCAUCCCUGUAGUACAGCCGUGCCUGUGGGGAGUAGGGAAACGCUGGAAGAUCCCAAAGUCAGAUUGCACCAUCCCUGCAGUACAGCCGUGCCUGUGGGGAGCAGGGAAAUGCUGGAAGAUCCCAAAGUCAGAUUGCACCAUCCCUGUAGUACAGCCAUGCCUGUGGGGAGCAGGGAAAUGCUGGAAGAUCCCAAAGUCAAAUUGCACCAUCCCUGUUCCUAUUGACAUUGGGACUGCCCUUACCCAUGACUGCCAGAAGUGCAGGUCUGACUCUGCAGCCAAGACAAAGCCCAGAACUCAAUAUCCAAAGGCCAGAGGUCAGUUUGCUCAGAUGGAGGAGCCCUCUCAGGGCUCAGCUGCCUCCCCCAAAGCCUGCUCUUGCUUUCUGUAGCAAUCUGGCCUCUCCCACCUCAGAGGAGAGCCCAGAAAUGGAGUGUCCCCUCUUGGCUGCUGCCUGAGCCUGCCUCUGAGGACUUUCUAGAUGCUGCAGCUCAUGCUCCAGAAGGAGGAUUUGUCCCCUGGCUUACACCAAGCACUCAGCCUAGGGUCAAAGCUCAAAGCCUUUUCUGAACCCUCCAUGGCCCUGCCCAUACUCCUGCUGCCCCCAGCAGGACCAUGCUGGGCAGGAUGAGAGUCCAGAGUCAUGGAGUCUGCACUGAAGGUACAAACACAAGACUUGGCCACGGUGCAGCCAUAGAUGCCAGUGGAAAACUGACAUCCUUCUUUUAUUCCUUAUCCAUGAGAACCCUCCAUGUGUCAAUCUCAAAAUACAGACAGUGUUGUAUUAAAGAAAGCAAAUUUAAAAAAAAAAAAAAAAGUCCUGUGACUUUUACAAGCCACUGUGCACAAAUACUUGCCUGCUUAUGCCUUUUCAUGUAAUUCUUCUUUUGCAGUACUCAGAUGUCUCUUGCACUGUGCUUCAACUGGAUCCCAGCCACGCCAGGGCAGUGUUUAUCCUGCUGUGGUUCUGAAUGGUGGGCUGGCCAUAAUGCCAUCUGUAUUAUUAUACACUGCUUUAACCCAAAAAAUUUAAACCUCCCAAUAAAGAGGAACCACAGAUGGCAACAACUGCUUGACAAAUGCCAAUGUGAAUUGCGCCACACUGAUUAAA
Long non-coding RNA from Hirundo rustica (Barn swallow), 3130 nucleotides. RefSeq lists it as uncharacterized. Lineage: Eukaryota; Metazoa; Chordata; Aves; Passeriformes; Hirundinidae. The record is from RefSeq and is a predicted model, not a curated record. The transcript is spliced from 3 exons.